This 88-nucleotide transfer RNA is filed under the name Rhodobacteraceae bacterium UBA7436. RNAcentral describes it as "tRNA-Ser(gga)". Lineage: Bacteria; Pseudomonadati; Pseudomonadota; Alphaproteobacteria; Rhodobacterales; Paracoccaceae. The record is from RNAcentral.
UCAGCUGGUGGUGCAGGAUCACGCGGCGUAUUGGAAGUACGCUGCCACGAAGCCCCGUUCGUCUUAGAACAUGGCCAAGUGGUUGGGC